This 465-nucleotide ribosomal RNA is filed under the name Vreelandella stevensii. Its description in RNAcentral is "partial 16S ribosomal RNA". It matches the Rfam family "Bacterial small subunit ribosomal RNA", at positions 338 to 795 of the family's 1533-position model. The record is from RNAcentral. Lineage: Bacteria; Pseudomonadati; Pseudomonadota; Gammaproteobacteria; Oceanospirillales; Halomonadaceae.
CCUACGGGAGGCUGCAGUGGGGAAUAUUGGACAAUGGGGGGAACCCUGAUCCAGCCAUGCCGCGUGUGUGAAGAAGGCCCUCGGGUUGUAAAGCACUUUCAGUGAGGAAGAACGCCUGGUGGUUAAUACCCAUCAGGAAAGACAUCACUCACAGAAGAAGCACCGGCUAACUCCGUGCCAGCAGCCGCGGUAAUACGGAGGGUGCGAGCGUUAAUCGGAAUUACUGGGCGUAAAGCGCGCGUAGGUGGCUUGAUAAGCCGGUUGUGAAAGCCCCGGGCUCAACCUGGGAACGGCAUCCGGAACUGUCAAGCUAGAGUGCAGGAGAGGAAGGUAGAAUUCCCGGUGUAGCGGUGAAAUGCGUAGAGAUCGGGAGGAAUACCAGUGGCGAAGGCGGCCUUCUGGACUGACACUGACACUGAGGUGCGAAAGCGUGGGUAGCAAACAAGAUUAGAUACCCGGGUAGUC